CCUACGGGGGGCAGCAGUGGGGAAUCUUCCGCAAUGGGCGCAAGCCUGACGGAGCAAUGCCGCGUGAACGAAGAAGGUCUUCGGAUUGUAAAGUUCUGUCCUUAUCGAAGAGAGGGUAUAGAGUGAAAAAUGAUAUGCUAGGACGGUAGAUGAGGAGGAAGCCCCGGCUAACUACGUGCCAGCAGCCGCGGUAAUACGUAGGGGGCGAGCGUUAUCCGGAAUGAUUGGGCGUAAAGGGUGCGCAGGCGGUCCUGCAAGUCUGGAGUGAAACGCAUGAGCUCAACUCAUGCAUGGCUUUGGAAACU
This 305-nucleotide ribosomal RNA is filed under the name uncultured bacterium. RNAcentral's name for it is "bacterial SSU rRNA". It matches the Rfam family "Bacterial small subunit ribosomal RNA", at positions 338 to 634 of the family's 1533-position model. The record is from RNAcentral.